This 454-nucleotide ribosomal RNA is filed under the name uncultured Pelagibacterales bacterium. Its description in RNAcentral is "bacterial SSU rRNA". It matches the Rfam family "Bacterial small subunit ribosomal RNA", at positions 1069 to 1532 of the family's 1533-position model. Lineage: Bacteria; Pseudomonadati; Pseudomonadota; Alphaproteobacteria; Candidatus Pelagibacterales. The record is from RNAcentral.
GAGAUGUGGGUAGUCCGCACGAGCGCACCUCACUUUUAGUUGCCAUCAUUAAGUUGGGCACUCUGAAAGAACUGCCAGUGAUAAGCUGGAGGAAGGUGGGGAUGACGUCAAGUCCUCAUGGCCCUUACGUGUUGGGCUACACACGUGCUACAAUGGCAUCUACAACAGGAAGCAAAACGGCAACGUCUAGCAAAUCCCGAAAAGAUGCCUCAGUUCGGAUUGCACUCUGCAACUCGAGUGCAUGAAGCUGGAAUUACUAGUAAUCGCGAAUCAGCAUGUCGCGGUGAAUACGUUCCCGGGCCUUGUACACACCGCCCGUCACACCAUGGGAGUGGGUUGCAAAAGAAGUGGCUAGUCUAACCUUCGGGAGGACGGUCACCACUUUGUGAUUCAUGACUGGGGUGAAGUCGUAACAAGGUAGCCCUAGGGGAACCUGGGGCUGGAUCACCUCCUU